This is a long non-coding RNA of Oryzias latipes (Japanese medaka), 642 nucleotides long. RefSeq lists it as uncharacterized. NCBI's taxonomy places the organism in Eukaryota, Metazoa, Chordata, Actinopteri, Beloniformes, Adrianichthyidae. The record is from RefSeq and is a predicted model, not a curated record.
UCAGAAACAGAUUCUGCUUCCAUCGCUCUGAGGAGGAGGAGAAGGAACCAGCUGUGAUUGGAACCAAACUGUGAGGAAAGGGUGCUAACCACUACACCACAGAGUAGCCCAGCUCCUACAGAGUGAAAACCAUCUUUGGUGGAUCAAUGUCUCUACAUCCUCCCAAACUUGUGUCCUAAAUAACCACAAAAGUUGAACUUAGCUCCUGGAUGAAGCCGUUAAAGCUUUGACGUUGUAACGUUGUGAAAAAGAGUUCAGCAGAGAGAAAAGGAUGGCAGCAAAAAUCUCACUUUAUCAAUAAUGACCAUCAACCUCAUGAAGUCCGGUUGGACGACUUCUGUCUCAAAUUAUGCAUAAAUGAAACAGGAGCUGCACAACCCGGGGGUCCCAAUCACCAAAAGGAGGGAAGGUACAACACUAAUAGACUGAAUGCACGCUUCAGGGUGGGUAGGACUGUCUGCGGGCAAAAAAUGGUCAAACAGGUACACACAAAGUAUCAGCACCACUCGGACAGUGAACACUUAUAGGACACGUUAGGGUGACGUAGGUGGGACGCAUUUUUCGACACCCAAAUCUUGCGCAGGAAGCAGGUUAGUGCCGUUCACGUGAUACGUGCGCGCUCCUUGCUGCACCCUGACUGUU